This 597-nucleotide long non-coding RNA is filed under the name Trifolium pratense (red clover). RNAcentral's name for it is "long non-coding RNA (TPRA_LNC001219)". Lineage: Eukaryota; Viridiplantae; Streptophyta; Magnoliopsida; Fabales; Fabaceae. The record is from RNAcentral.
UAAAACCCAAACUCAAGACAAGCAACUUGAUGCUGAAGGAGAAGAUGGCAACGAAGAUGAAGACGAAGAUGAUGAUGAUGGCGAUGGUGCAUUUGGAGAAGGGGAAGAUGAAUUGUCAUCUGAAGAUGGAGGUGGAUAUGGAAACAAUUCCAACAAUAAGAGCAACCCAAAGAAGGCUCCUGAAGGUGGCGCUGCUGGGGCAGAUGAAAAUGGAGAAGAGGAAGAUGAUGAAGAGGGUGACGACCAAGACGAGGACGACGAUGAGGAUGACGACGAUGAGGAAGAGGGUGGAGAAGAAGACGAGGAGGAAGCUGUUGAUGAAGAAGAGAAUGAAGAAGACGAAGAGGAUGAAGAUGAGGAAGCUUUGCAGCCACCAAAAAAAAGGAAGAAGUGAAUUUAGCUUAGUCAAGCCUCUGUAUUGUUGUGUUCGGAUUUGGCUUCUAACUUCCGUGUUGUUUUUUUUUUCAGUACUAAACUUCUAUGUUGUUAUUCACUUUAUAAGGAGGCCUAUGUAGGACUUGUUUUAAUUCAUAUUUGUGUUUACCAUUGCGUAAUUAGAAUGCUACAUUAUAUUGAGCAAGGCAGUCUUAAAUUUAC